UAAAAUAAGUAUCUUCCUGUAGUGCUGUGCAAUGUAUAUGCACCUGAAUGUAUUUCAGUGUCCAAUGCAUGCUCAAGUAGUAUGUCAAGGAAGAUAUAUACUAAAACAUUGUAAAAGACUGACGAUUGUAUACCCCCAAACUGAUAAUCUGGAUGAAUUUACUUUCUGGAAAGGCUCCUAGACUUAGAAAGGUGAAUAUGUUUUCAUUGUGUAAAAGGCGCAAACCAACAUCCUGAGGAAUUCACGCUUGCCUUGUGUUGACUACUGGACAGAAGAGCUAAUUGUUCUAUAGAGCCUACACAAAACUAUAUACGGUAGAAAUUGUCUAUUGUGGGAGCCCAGUUACCAUGUUUGCAUACACAAAUAAGCACAUUGUUCACCAAACACCUGCACUUCUCAAAAAUGUUCACACAAAGUAAUAACCCAUUCAAUGUGAUCAUGAGUAAGUUUGCUAUGUCAUAGAGUCACAGAAUCAUAGAAUCAGCCGGGUUGGAAAGGACCUCUGAGAUCAUCAAGUCCAACCCUUGAUCCACAACUCUCUGCCUUUCAUGUUGAAAAUGUAGCCAAUAAAGUCCUUCAAAUAUAGUGCUUAAAUUCUAAAUAAGGAAGGACAAUUGAACCCUUGACAUUAUUUAGAUCAUAAGAGGGGUUGCAUAUAGGGAGAAAUCUUUAUAAUAUUUUACUGCAUAUGGAUAAGUCAUCCUCCGGUUUGAUUUCCUCCUUCAUUUGUACCAGCAGAGGGAUAAGUUUGAAAUCUCAUGGAGACUUUAAGCCUGUUCAGCUGGCCAGCAACAGUUCACUGACUGGUACUAGAAUCAGAUGAAAUCUUGAAUGCUGUUAAGAACAACUGUGAUGCCAGACAAGAAAGGAC
Pseudopipra pipra is the source of this 871-nucleotide long non-coding RNA. RefSeq lists it as uncharacterized. The record is from RefSeq and is a predicted model, not a curated record. The transcript has 3 exons. Lineage: Eukaryota; Metazoa; Chordata; Aves; Passeriformes; Pipridae.